This is a non-coding RNA of Myotis davidii, 75 nucleotides long. The record is from Rfam. Lineage: Eukaryota; Metazoa; Chordata; Mammalia; Chiroptera; Vespertilionidae.
GGCAGUUCUCGGGUGACGCAUCCCGGAAUUGGGCUCCCUCCUCUUUGGUUUUGGGUGCGUUACCCAAGAACCGCA